RNAcentral lists this ribosomal RNA (306 nucleotides) under uncultured Glomus. RNAcentral's name for it is "partial 18S ribosomal RNA". Lineage: Eukaryota; Fungi; Glomeromycota; Glomeromycetes; Glomerales; Glomeraceae. The record is from RNAcentral.
CGUAAGGCGCCGAAUGAGUCAUUAAAAAAUUAACAUCAUCCGAUCCCUAGUCGGCAUAGUUUAUGGUUAAGACUACGACGGUAUCUGAUCGUCUUCGAUCCCCUAACUUUCGUUCUUGAUUAAUGAAAACAUCCUUGGCAAAUGCUUUUCGCAGUAGUUAGUCUUCAAUAAAUCCAAGAAUUUCACCUCUGACAAUUGAAUACUAAUGCCCCCAACUAUCCCUAUUAAUCAUUACGUCAAUCCUAGAAACCAACAAAAUAGGAUCGAUCGUCCUAUUUCAUUAUUCCAUGCUAAUGUAUUCAAGCG